Molecule: long non-coding RNA, 406 nt
Organism: Leptidea sinapis
Lineage: Eukaryota; Metazoa; Arthropoda; Insecta; Lepidoptera; Pieridae
Exons: 3
Source: RefSeq, a predicted model, not a curated record
CACCGGGUCACUUGUACGUGCGUAAUAAGUAAUGACCCCGUGCCCGUGUCGUGACGUUGGUCUUGGAGCAGUGGGUCAGUUGGCUGGGCGUAGCUCUAUCCAGUAGCGACACAUUGCACAUUCAAUCGUGUUCCUCAGAAAAAAUGUCAGGUCAUUUGGGUCAAAGUGUCGAGAGAUGCAGAAUAUGAGGGGUUCUAAAUGUAGAUUAUAACUGUAGUAAGAUUUCUAAAAUAAACAAGUUUGUGAAAUGAAACUCAACAUCUUACAUAUUACCUAUGGCAAGGGUGGCAGAUAUCAACGGUAGGCUUCAUCCCGCCUACUUCUUCUCGAUAACGGCAGCACUUCCAACUUCAUCACUCAGGAUCUGUGCCAUAAGCUCGGUCUGAAUACACGAAGCACUAUCUCU